Erinaceus europaeus (western European hedgehog) is the source of this 269-nucleotide unclassified non-coding RNA. Its record names the gene 7SK. It matches the Rfam family "7SK RNA". From Rfam's summary of the family: 7SK was discovered as an abundant small nuclear RNA in the mid-70s but a possible function has only recently been suggested. The record is from Ensembl. NCBI's taxonomy places the organism in Eukaryota, Metazoa, Chordata, Mammalia, Eulipotyphla, Erinaceidae.
GGAAGUGAGGGCGAUCUGUCUGCGACAUCUGUCACCCCAUUGAUCGCCAGGGUUGAUUCAGCUCAUCUGGCUGGCUAGGCGGGUGUCCCCUUCCUCCCUCACCGCUCCAUGUGCGUCCCUCCCGAAGCUCAUUUGAAGAUGACACCCUUCCCCAAACAGAGACGGACCCCGGUCUUCAGUAGAGGGUGCACGAGUAGCUGCGCUCCCCUGCUAGAAGCCCCAAACAAGCUCUCAAGUUGGGAUUCUUGCUCUUACCCAUUCAGUGCACU